GAAAUGCGAUAAGUAGUGUGAAUUGCAGAAUUCAGUGAAUCAUCGAAUCUUUGAACGCACAUUGCGCCCUUUGGUAUUCCUUAGGGCAUGCCUGUUCGAGCGUCAUCUAAACCUUCAAGCCCUGCUUGGUGUUGGGUGCCUGUCCCGCCUCCGCGCGCGGACUCACCUCAAAUCCAUUGGCGGCCCCUGCGUCGGCCACGAGCGCAGCAGAAACGCGAACUCGUGAGCCCGUCCGGGCGGCUCCCAGAAGCUACACCCACCCAGUUUGACCUCGGAUCAGGUAGGGAUACCCGCUGAACUUAAGC
RNAcentral lists this unclassified non-coding RNA (305 nucleotides) under plant metagenome. RNAcentral describes it as "partial contains 5.8S ribosomal RNA, internal transcribed spacer 2, and large subunit ribosomal RNA". The stretch from base 1 to 105 matches the Rfam family "5.8S ribosomal RNA", at positions 50 to 154 of the family's 154-position model. The record is from RNAcentral.